This is a long non-coding RNA of Onychostoma macrolepis, 1601 nucleotides long. RefSeq lists it as uncharacterized. The transcript has 3 exons. NCBI's taxonomy places the organism in Eukaryota, Metazoa, Chordata, Actinopteri, Cypriniformes, Cyprinidae. The record is from RefSeq and is a predicted model, not a curated record.
GGAAAACUGGACUCAGCAUUUUCUCUACCAAUUUCCUUUGCUUUCUUCCUCAAUUCCUGUCUGUGUAGCACAGUUUUACUCCUUCCAGCAUUAAAUGUUCUGGCAGUUCCGUUCUUCAAAACUGCCACUUUCUUUUCACCUUUGUUAAACCCCGAUCUCAUCUCAAAGAACUGCUCAACUGAUUUCAAUUCCCCCUCGGUGCAUCCUUUUAGUUUACACAUGUUGGAGACAAGCUACAAGAAUGAUCUUCGAGACAAAUCAUCUUUGGGGAAGAGAAAGCUAUGAGCUGAUCUGUUCCUUCGAAUGGAGGUCUCUAAAGAGGGCAAGAGGGAAAACUCAAGCUGUGAAAAAUGACAUGUAUAGGGUGAAAGACACCAUCCCGUCAUGGCUCACCCCAUCACAGAUGUAUGUUGAGCCCCUCAAGCCUUCUGGGUAAAUGAGAACAAGCUCUUUGCUGAUUGGAUUAAAGCCUACGGUUUGGCAAUUUGAGAUUAAGGGAACAUUAAGGAGAGGGAGUGCCUGGGAUCCAUUUAAGAGUCUCUGUGUUCAAAUCUAUACGCAUAUACUUCCAUCUCCAAUAACUCGUAUAUCCAACCCAACUGAUAAUUGACCUGUAUCAUCUUUUGCUAUAAUUCACUUCUGGGAUAUUGUAAGUGUGAGUUUGGCUAGGCUUGCAUAAGUAUUAGUGCUCUAUUAUGAACGUUUCACAUGGGUUGAUUGGGAUUGAUCAGUGGUCCAUACCGCUGCACAAGCCAAUUAAUGGCUGUCUCCUAGGGAGAGUCUGGUUGGCCGAGUCGCAAUAGAUGUAAAUGCAAUUGAUUGACUGUAAGAGUUAGUCUAAGUGAUUUGGCCCUGUAAAUCGGGCAAGCCGAGUGUCGGCUACAUUUGAGAGGAGUCUUUCCCAUCCGUCACAAGAAAUGUUUUUUCAUCUUCUAGGGUGUUUGUGUGCAAAUUGAGGAAAGAACCAGAGUAGGAAGGGCUUGAGGAAAGUGUAAGUGCGGUAAAAUCAGCCAGGGAAAAGUACUUCUUUAACAAGCAAAUCUAUUUACGACCCCUCUGAGACCUGAAUGGCCCGAGUUGCAAUCUCAUUCUGCUCUCUCUCAUCACUUAGAGAGGUCAUUGACUUCCCCAACAGCGUCCCUGUCCCAAAAGGUAUUGGCUCUGUGGGCUGACAUCAGCUGGUGACUGGAUGCUCGUACCAGAAUUAAUGUAAUUAGUAAUUACUGGAUGAGCCGGAAGGGCAGCGUGUCUGUAGGCUACCACAUGAAAACAUGCAAAUAAAAAAUAGCAGUACAAUAGCAGUUAAAAUGUUCAUACACUACUGUUUUUCUUCAUUUUUGUCCUAUUGUUUAGUGUUUUUGAAAUAUUUUUUUAUGCUAACCAAGACUGCAUUUUGUGCAUAUUUGCUGCAUAUUGUGAAAUAUUAUUAGCAUUUGAUAUAACUGUGUUCUAUUAUAUUUUAAAAUGUAAUUUAUUUCUGUGAUGGCAAAGCUACAUUUUCAACAGCCGUUACUCCAGUCUCAGUGUCACAUGAUCCUUCAGAAAUUAUUCUAAUAUGCCGAUUUGGUGCUCAAGAAACAGCUGUGCUUAAUAUUUUUUUG